This 468-nucleotide ribosomal RNA is filed under the name uncultured bacterium. RNAcentral's name for it is "partial 16S ribosomal RNA". It matches the Rfam family "Bacterial small subunit ribosomal RNA", at positions 28 to 507 of the family's 1533-position model. The record is from RNAcentral.
GACGAACGCUGGCGGCGUGCUUAACACAUGCAAGUCGAACGGAAAGGCCCUGCUUUUGUGGGGUGCUCGAGUGGCGACCGGGUGAGUAACCCGUGAGUAACCUGCCCUUGACUUUGGGAUAACUUCAGGCAACUGGGGCUAAUACCGGCUAGGAGCUCCUGCUGCAUGGUGGGGGUUGGAUAGUUUCGGCGGUUGGGGAUGGACUGGCGGCUUAUCAGCUUGUUGGUGUGGUAGUGGCUUACCAAGGCUUUGACGGGUAGCCGGGCUGAGAGGGUGACCGGCCACAUUGGGACGGAGCUACGGCCCAGACCCGAACGGGAGGCAGGGGUGGGGAAGAGUGUACAAUGGGAGGAAGGCAGGUGCAGCAACGCCGCGUGGGGGAUGAGGGCCAGCGGUUAGUAUUGUGAUGUCGCCUGUGACGAGGCGUGAGUGACGGUAACGGGUAAAGAAGCACCGGCUAACUACGUG